AAUAUGCUUACUUCAGAGAAUAAAGUCAUUGAACCCCAAUACUUCGGCUUGGCAUACUUAUUCAGAAAAGUAAUAGAGGAGCAGUUGGAACCAGCAGUUGAAAAGAUAAGCAUCAUGGCAGAGAGAUUGGCCAAUCAGUUUGCAAUUUAUAAACCUGUCACUGAUUUUUUCCUUCAACUUGUGGAUGCAGGCAAGGUGGAUGAUGCCAGAGCUCUCCUACAGAGAUGUGGUGCAAUUGCUGAACAAACCCCGAUUUUGUUGUUGUUCCUCCUUAGGAAUUCUAGGAAACAAGGAAAGGUACUGUGCUUUACUUGCUUACAAAUCAGUGAUACUGUACGUGCCUUGCUCAGAAGUAUUGAAUUUAACAUAAAAGCCUGUUGUUUCAGGACCUUAUUUGAGAAUACUAUAGAGAUUCAAGACUUUGCUUGUCUCUACUUAGAGUGAGUUUUGUCGUCUGUUAGCUGUACUGGAAAUGUAAAACAAGUUCAUGCAGGAAUUUUCCACUUACACAGGUAUGCAUUGAGAGCCCCAAGAAAAGGCCCUUAAAAAAUGCAAGAUUAGGCUGGGCAUGGUGGCUCACACCUGUAAUCCCAGCACUUUGGGAGGCCGAGGUGGGUGGAUCACUUGAGGUCAGGAGUUUCAGAGUUUGAGACCAGCCUGGCCAGCAUGGCGAAACCUGGUCUUUACAAAAAAA
Molecule: small RNA, 694 nt
Filed under: Pan troglodytes (chimpanzee)
Lineage: Eukaryota; Metazoa; Chordata; Mammalia; Primates; Hominidae
Description: retained intron
Source: RNAcentral